This 372-nucleotide long non-coding RNA is filed under the name Actinidia chinensis (golden kiwifruit). Its description in RNAcentral is "long non-coding RNA (ACHI_LNC008527)". Lineage: Eukaryota; Viridiplantae; Streptophyta; Magnoliopsida; Ericales; Actinidiaceae. The record is from RNAcentral.
UCUCUCUCUCUCUCUCUCUCUCUCUCUCAAUGUUACUGUAUCUGCUGACAAUAUUGAGUAUAAUAAAAUGAUUCGAAGGGACGAGUUCCAAAGAAGUUGCUGCGCGAUGCAAAAGUUAUACUUCUGAUUUCUUGCGAUGAGGGUGGUACCUAAGCUUGAACUCUAGAAGAGUGGUUCAAAGCCACAAGCAUGCGACCACUUGAGAAGUAAAGCUUCGGUACUGUCGGUUUCUUGAUGUGUUGCAGACAUGUCGACUCUCUCCCCCGCAAGCAGACAAGUAUUUUAGCUCUUGGCAUUUAAAUUCGACCUUACAGAGCCGAAUUGAAAAGGCUUAUCCUAUCCGAUGUUUGAGGUGGAUCCAUUGAAUUAAAA